RNAcentral lists this ribosomal RNA (261 nucleotides) under uncultured bacterium. Its description in RNAcentral is "partial 16S ribosomal RNA". It matches the Rfam family "Bacterial small subunit ribosomal RNA", at positions 793 to 1055 of the family's 1533-position model. The record is from RNAcentral.
GUCCUAGCAGUAAACGAUGGAUACUAGGUGUUGGGGAAAUUGACCCCUCAGUGCCGCAGUUAACACAAUAAGUAUCCCGCCUGGGGAGUACGGUCGCAAGAUUAAAACUCAAAGGAAUUGACGGGGGCCCGCACAAGCAGCGGAGCGUGUGGUUUAAUUCGACGCAACGCGAAGAACCUUACCAGGGCUUGACAUGCUAUGUUCAGCGGUGGAAACAUCGUGGCCGCAAGGCGAAUAGCACAGAUGCUGCAUGGCUGUCGU